RNAcentral lists this ribosomal RNA (468 nucleotides) under uncultured bacterium. Its description in RNAcentral is "partial 16S ribosomal RNA". It matches the Rfam family "Bacterial small subunit ribosomal RNA", at positions 28 to 507 of the family's 1533-position model. The record is from RNAcentral.
GACGAACGCUGGCGGCGUGCUUAACACUUGCAAGUCGAACGGAAAGGCCCUGCUUUUGUGGGGUGCUCGAGUGGCGAACGGGUGAGUAACACGUGAGUAACCUGCCCUUGACUUUGGGAUAACUUCAGGAAACUGGGGCUAAUACCGGAUAGGAGCUCCUGCUGCAUGGUGGGGGUUGGAAAGUUUCGGCGGUUGGGGAUGGACUCGCGGCUUAUCAGCUUGUUGGUGGGGUAGUGGCUUACCAAGGCUUUGACGGGUAGCCGGCCUUAGAGGGUGACCGGCCACAUUGGGACUGAGAUACGGCCCAGACUCCUACGGGAGGCAGCAGUGGGGAAUAUUGCACAAUGGGCGGAAGCCUGAUGCAGCAACGCCGCGUGCGGGAUGACAGCCUUCGGGUUGUAAACCGCUUUCGCCUGUGACGAAGCGUGAGUGGCGGUAAUGGGUAAAGAAGCACCGGCUAACUACGUG